CAAUAGCGUAUAUUUAAGUUGUUGCAGUUAAAAAGCUCGUAGUCGGAUUUUGGCUGAGAACGAUCGGUCCGCCGUUAGGUGUGCACUGAUUGGUCUCAGCUUCCUGGUGAGGAGGUGUGCUUCACGGCCACUUAGUCACCGUGGUUACUUUGAAAAAAUUAGAGUGUUCAAAGCGGGCUUACGCUUGAAUAUAUUAGCAUGGAAUAACACCAUAGGACUCCUGUCCUACUUCGUUGGUCUCGGGACGGGAGUAAUGAUUAAGAGGAACAGUUGGGGGCAUUCGUAUUUCAUUGUCAGAGGUGAAAUUCUUGGAUUUAUGAAAGACGAACUUCUGCGAAAGCAUUUGCCAAGGAUGUUUUCAUUGA
This 365-nucleotide ribosomal RNA is filed under the name uncultured eukaryote. RNAcentral describes it as "partial 18S ribosomal RNA". It matches the Rfam family "Eukaryotic small subunit ribosomal RNA", at positions 592 to 976 of the family's 1831-position model. The record is from RNAcentral.